RNAcentral lists this ribosomal RNA (254 nucleotides) under uncultured bacterium. Its description in RNAcentral is "partial 16S ribosomal RNA". It matches the Rfam family "Bacterial small subunit ribosomal RNA", at positions 524 to 776 of the family's 1533-position model. The record is from RNAcentral.
UACGUAGGGGGCAAGCGUUGUCCGGAAUUAUUGGGCGUAAAGAGCUCGUAGGCGGCUUGGUAGGUCUGCUGUGAAAACUCGGGGCUCAACCCCGAGACGUCGGUGGAAACCACCUGGCUAGAGUCCGGAAGAGGAGAGUGGAAUUCCUGGUGUAGCGGUGAAAUGCGCAGAUAUCAGGAAGAAUAUCCGUGGCGAAGGCGGCUCUCUGGUACGGCAAUGACGCUGAUUGUGCGAAAGCUAGGGGAGCGAACGGG